This 351-nucleotide ribosomal RNA is filed under the name uncultured bacterium. RNAcentral's name for it is "partial 16S ribosomal RNA". It matches the Rfam family "Bacterial small subunit ribosomal RNA", at positions 338 to 681 of the family's 1533-position model. The record is from RNAcentral.
CCUACGGGUGGCAGCAGUGGGGAAUAUUGCGCAAUGGGCGAAAGCCUGACGCAGCGACGCCGCGUGAGGGAUGAAGGUCUUCGGAUCGUAAACCUCUGUCAGCAGGGAAGAACGGUCACGGUGCUAAGCAGCAGUGAAUGGACGGUACCUGCAAAGGAAGCACCGGCUAACUCCGUGCCAGCAGCCGCGGUAAUACGGAGGGUGCGAGCGUUAAGCGGAAUUACUGGGCGAAAAGCGCUCGUAGGCGGUAUGUCAAGUCAAGGGUGAAAUCCCCGCGCUCAACGUUGGACCUGCCUUUGAAACUGGCAACCUGGAUUGUGUGUGAGGCUAGUGGAAUUCCAGGUGUAGGCG